This 87-nucleotide microRNA precursor is filed under the name Caenorhabditis japonica. Its description in RNAcentral is "pre miRNA CJA48983". It matches the Rfam family "mir-124 microRNA precursor family". From Rfam's summary of the family: The mature ~21nt miRNAs are processed from hairpin precursor sequences represented here, in this case originating from the 3' arm. The bounds of the precursors are predicted based on conservation and base pairing and are not generally known. Lineage: Eukaryota; Metazoa; Nematoda; Chromadorea; Rhabditida; Rhabditidae. The record is from RNAcentral.
UGUUGUCAUCUGGCGUCCACCUGAGUGACUUUAGUGGACAAUUUUUGGUUCCAACUAAGGCACGCGGUGAAUGCCACGUGGCAACCG